AUGAACGCUGGCGGCGUGCCUAAUACAUGCAAGUCGAGCGAACAGAUAAGGAGCUUGCUCCUUUGACGUUAGCGGCGGACGGGUGAGUAACACGUGGGUAACCUACCUAUAAGACUGGGAUAACUUCGGGAAACCGGAGCUAAUACCGGAUAACAUUUGGAACCGCAUGGUUCUAAAGUGAAGGAUGGUUUUGCUAUCACUUAUAGAUGGACCCGCGCCGUAUUAGCUAGUUGGUAAGGUAACGGCUUACCAAGGCGACGAUACGUAGCCGACCUGAGAGGGUGAUAGGCCACACUGGAACUGAGACACGGUCCAGACUCCUACGGGAGGCAGCAGUAGGGAAUCUUCCGCAAUGGGCGAAAGCCUGACGGAGCAACGCCGCGUGAGUGAUGAAGGGUUUCGGCUCGUAAAACUCUGUUAUUAGGGAAGAACAAAUGUGUAAGUAACUGUGCACGUCUUGACGGUACCUAAUCAGAAAGCCACGGCUAACUACGUG
This 496-nucleotide ribosomal RNA is filed under the name uncultured bacterium. RNAcentral describes it as "partial 16S ribosomal RNA". It matches the Rfam family "Bacterial small subunit ribosomal RNA", at positions 29 to 507 of the family's 1533-position model. The record is from RNAcentral.